RNAcentral lists this ribosomal RNA (1343 nucleotides) under metagenome. RNAcentral describes it as "bacterial LSU rRNA". It matches the Rfam family "Bacterial large subunit ribosomal RNA", at positions 1564 to 2912 of the family's 2925-position model. The record is from RNAcentral.
UGAGUACGAGCUGCUACGGCAGCGAAGUGGGUGAUGUCAUGCUUCCAAGAAAAGCCCUAUACCCGUUAAGGCAUGAUGGCCUGUACCCGAAACCGACACAGGUGGGGUGGUAGAGAAUACCGAGGGGCGCGAGGUAACUCUCUCUAAGGAACUCGGCAAAAUGGCCCCGUAACUUCGGGAGAAGGGGUGCCACCGCAAGGUGGUCGCAGUGAAGAGGCCCAGGCGACUGUUUACCAAAAACACAGGUCUCCGCUAAGUCGCAAGACGAUGUAUGGGGGCUGACGCCUGCCCAGUGCCGGAAGGUUAAGGAAGCUGGUCAGCGUAAGCGAAGCUAGCGACUGAAGCCCCGGUGAACGGCGGCCGUAACAAUAACGAUCCUAAGGUAGCGAAAUUCCUUGUCGGGUAAGUUCCGACCCGCACGAAAGGCGUAACGAUCUGGGCGCUGUCUCGGAGAGAGGCUCGGCGAAAUAGAAUUGUCUGUGAAGAUGCGGACUACGUGCACCCGGACAGAAAGACCCUAUGAAGCUUUACUGUAGCUUGGUAUUGUGCUCGGGCUCGGAAUGCGCAGGAUAGGUGGGAGGCUAUGAACCAUUGCUUGUGGGUGAUGGUGAGCCACUGGUGAGAUACCACUCUUUCCGAGCUAGAGUUCUAACAGCCACCCGUUAUCCGGGGGCUGGACAGUAUCAGGUGGGCAGUUUGACUGGGGCGGUCGCCUCCUAAAAGGUAACGGAGGCGCACAAAGGUUUGCUCAGGCUGGUUGGAAAUCAGCCGACGAGUGUAAAAGCAGAAGCAAGCUUGACUGUGAGACCUACAAGUCGAACAGGGAGGAAACUCGGCUUUAGUGAUCCGACGGUUCUGCGUGGAAGGGCCGUCGCUCAACGGAUAAAAGUUACUCUAGGAUAACAGGCUGAUCUCCCCCAAGAGUUCACAUCGACGGGGAGGUUUGGCACCUCGAUGUCGGCUCAUCGCAACCUGGGGCUGAAGUCGGUCCCAAGGGUUGGGCUGUUCGCCCAUUAAAGCGGUACGCGAGCUGGGUUCAGAACGUCGUGAGACAGUUCGGUCCAUAUCCGGUGCAUGCGCAGGAAUAUUGAGAGGAUUUCUCCCUAGUACGAGAGGACCGGGAGGAACGCACCUCUGGUGUACCAGUUAUCGUGCCAACGGUAAACGCUGGGUAGCCAUGUGCGGAGAGGAUAACCGCUGAAAGCAUCUAAGUGGGAAGCCCACCUCAAGAUGAGUAUUCCCAUGGGGUAACCCAGUAAGGUCACGGGAAGAACACCCGUUGAUAGGCUCUACGUGGAAGCGCAGUAAUGUGUGAAGCGGAGGAGUACUAAUAGACCGAGGGC